This 495-nucleotide ribosomal RNA is filed under the name uncultured bacterium. Its description in RNAcentral is "partial 16S ribosomal RNA". It matches the Rfam family "Bacterial small subunit ribosomal RNA", at positions 28 to 507 of the family's 1533-position model. The record is from RNAcentral.
GACGAACGCUGGCGGCGUGCCUAAUACAUGCAAGUAGAACGCUGAAGGAGGAGCUUGCUCUUCUGGAUGAGUUGCGAACGGGUGAGUAACGCGUAGGUAACCUGCCUGGUAGCGGGGGAUAACUAUUGGAAACGAUAGCUAAUACCGCAUAAGAGUAGAUGUUGCAUGACAUUUACUUAAAAGGUGCAAUUGCAUCACUACCAGAUGGACCUGCGUUGUAUUAGCUAGUUGGUGGGGUAACGGCUUACCAAGGCGACGAUACAUAGCCGACCUGAGAGGGUGAUCGGCCACACUGGGACUGAGACACGGCCCAGACUCCUACGGGAGGCAGCAGUAGGGAAACUUCGGCAAUGGACGGAAGUCUGACCGAGCAACGCCGCGUGAGUGAAGAAGGUUUUCGGAUCGUAAAGCUCUGUUGUAAGAGAAGAACGAGUGUGAGAGUGGAAAGUUCACACUGUGACGGUAUCUUACCAGAAAGGGACGGCUAACUACGUG